AACGCUAGCUACAGGCUUAACACAUGCAAGUCGAGGGGUAACAGGGGAGCUUGCUUCCGCUGACGACCGGCGAAUGGGUGAGUAACGCGUAUCCAACCUGCCGCACGCCCGGGGACAGCCCUUGGAAACGAGGAUUAACCCCCGAUAGGUGGAGUUGCCGCAUGACGGCUCCAUGAAACAGGCAUGCGAUGGGGAUGCGUUGGAUUAGCUUGUUGGCGGGGUAACGGCCCACCAAGGCAACGAUCCAUAGGGGUUCUGAGAGGAAGGUCCCCCACAUUGGAACUGAGACACGGUCCAAACUCCUACGGGAGGCAGCAGUGAGGAAUAUUGGUCAAUGGGCGAGAGCCUGAACCAGCCAAGUAGCGUGAGGGAUGAAGGUAUUAUGUAUUGUAAACUUCUUUAGCUGUGGAGCAAUAAUCGCCAUGCAUGGCGAGAUGAGAGUACACAGAGAAUAAGGAUCGGCUAACUCCGUGCCAGCAGCCGCGGUAAUACGGAGGAUCCGAGCGUUAUCCGGAUUUAUUGGGUUUAAAGGGUGCGCAGGCGGCUUUCUAAGUCAGUGGUUAAAUAGCGGUGCUCAACGCCGUCCCGCCAUUGAUACUGGAGAGCUUGAUUGCGGUCGAGGUUUGCGGAAUU
RNAcentral lists this ribosomal RNA (633 nucleotides) under uncultured bacterium. RNAcentral's name for it is "bacterial SSU rRNA". It matches the Rfam family "Bacterial small subunit ribosomal RNA", at positions 32 to 668 of the family's 1533-position model. The record is from RNAcentral.